AGAGUUUGAUCAUGGCUCAGAACGAACGCUGGCGGCGUGGAUAAGACAUGCAAGUCGAGCGGGAUUUUCCUUGGUAGCAAUACCGAGGAAAAUUCAGCGGCGAACGGGUGCGUAACACGUGGGCAAUCUGUCCUAAAGUGUAGGAUAGCUCGGCGAAAGCCGAAUUAAUACCGCAUGUGGCUACUGGAGACAUCUUCGGGACGCUAAAGGUGGCGCAAGCUACCGCUUUUUGAGGAGCCCGCGGCCUAUCAGCUUGUUGGUGAGGUAACGGCUCACCAAGGCGUUGACGGGUAGCUGGUCUGAGAGGACGACCAGCCACACUGGGACUGGGACACGGCCCAGACACCUACGGGUGGCAGCAGUCGAGAAUUUUUGACAAUGGGGGAAACCCUGAUCGAGCGACGCCGCGUGGAGGAUGAAGGUCUUCGGGUUGUAAACUCCUGUCAUUUGAGAACAAGGCGCGGCUAUUAACUGUAGUCGCGUUGAUAGUAUCAGAAGAGGAAGAGACGGCUAACUCUGUGCCAGCAGCCGCGGUAAUACAGAGGUCUCAAGCGUUGUUCGGAUUCAUUGGGCGUAAAGGGUGUGUAGGUGGCGCGCUAAGUCGGGUGUGAAAUUUCGGAGCUUAACUCCGAAACUGCAUUCGAUACUGGCGUGCUUGAGGACUGGAGAGGAGACUGGAAUUUUACGGUGUAGCAGUGAAAUGCGUAGAUAUCGUAAGGAAGACCAGUGGCGAAGGCGGGUCUCUGGACAGUUCCUGACACUGAGACACGAAGGCCAGGGGAGCAAACGGGAUUAGAUACCCUAGUAGUCC
This 811-nucleotide ribosomal RNA is filed under the name uncultured bacterium. RNAcentral describes it as "bacterial SSU rRNA". It matches the Rfam family "Bacterial small subunit ribosomal RNA", at positions 8 to 796 of the family's 1533-position model. The record is from RNAcentral.